GGCAGCGCCAGGGCUGUUGUGUGGCUGCACGGUGGUGCUGCAGGGCGGGAUGCUGUACCCCCGGGAGAGCCCGUCAUGGAAGUGCAAGGAGCUGGACAGCCCCUGGAGCUUCCGCGCCGACUUCUCCGACGACCGGCGCCGGGGCUUCCAGGAGCGGUGGUAGCGGCCGCUGCUGCGUUUGGCCCCACCCUGGACAUGCAGGUUCUCUCCAGCUUCAAGAACAUCUGCCAGGACUCGCGGCUAUGGCUUUUGUCAGCUGGGUGUGGCACAAAUGGGAUGUGACCUUGCCAGAGUGGUGGAUCCAGGACCUGCAGAGAAGAGUGGUGCUGAGGAUUGGCAGUGCCCACUCCUAUGCCAUUCUGACUUUGACUUCAGCCCGGCGGGACUGCAGCGGUCUGUGCUUCUGUUCACGACACUCACCACCUGCAUUGAUGACAUCACCAUCACCGUCACCACCAGCGUGGAGCAAGACAGUGGUGAGAGCUUCCACGUUACUGCCACCUGCUAUAGGUGACUGAGAAGUGGGCCUAGGGCACCUUCAGACUCAACCCCAAUGAUGAGGACAUCCACACAGCCAGCGAGCACCACCUGAAGGGUCUUGCUCUGUCACCUAGUCUGGAGUGCAGUGGUGGGAUCUCUCCUACCUGCAAACUUUGCCUCCCUGGGUCAAGUGAUUCUCCUACCUCAGCCUCCCAAGUAGCUGGGAUUACAGAUAGAGUUUUGCUCUUGUCACCCAGGCUGAAGUGCAGUGGCACUCGGCUCAGUGCAACCUCUGCCUCCCAGAUUCAAGCAAUUCUCCUGCCUCAGUCUCCACAGUAGCUGGAACUACAGGGAACAUGACAUCCUCUUCCUAGGUUACACCCACCUGCAGAGGGCCCAGCCCCAUCACUGGAGCCACUGGAUUCUGAGUAUCAUUGCAGGAUGAGUAUUUUGUGUCAAGUGGAUUCAAGGGACAGUGCGAAGGAUCCAUGGCCUCAGUCAUGAAGACUCUCCCAAGAGCCAACCGUCCUGGGCACAUAUAAAUGAGUGGAGACAUGGAACUCACCCUUACAAGGCCUAGAACUUGACAGAGCAUACAAGACAGAAGCCCAAAUAACCAAGAACAGGAAGCUGAAGGUGACAUAGGAGGCUUUGUGGGUAACAGGCAUCAGCCAGGGCCAGCAGCCUUCAGUCAGAAGCUGAUGGAGGAGGAGGAGCUCCGACUAUUCUCACGGAAGUAUUUGUGCCCUUGUGGCUUGCUCUGUUGCAGCACUUUGGGAGGUCAAAGCAGGUGGACCGCUUGAGUCCAGGAGUUAGAGACCAGCCUGGACAACAUGUUGAAACCCCAUCUCUACAAAAAAAAUACAAAUUAGGCACAGUGGUGGAUGCAUAUAGUUCCAGUUACUCAGGAGGCUGAAGUAAGAAGAUGGCUUUAGUGUGGGACGUGAAGAUUGCAGAAAGCUGACAUCACAACACUGCACUUCAGU
Molecule: non-coding RNA, 1466 nt
Organism: Callithrix jacchus (white-tufted-ear marmoset)
Lineage: Eukaryota; Metazoa; Chordata; Mammalia; Primates; Cebidae
Source: RefSeq, a predicted model, not a curated record